CUUGCGCUGCCCAUCGCAUUUGUCGCAUUUUGCGAUUUUUCAGGGGAAAAUGCGACACGGACAUUUCAUAUUUUAGAAAUCGCGACGCCAUCUUGGAUUUCAGCUGUUGGCAUCCAAACAGCCCCAGGGCUGUUUUACCUGUGCAGAAUGUGGAUACCCUGCCGCAUGGGAACAAUAGACAUAGUGGUGUCUUGUUUAUUUAGCAGUUUACACAAGACAAAAGGUUGAUCCUCUGUGUGCAGACUUCCCGAGUUCCCUUCUCUACAACAUGAUGAUAUUUACUAAAGGACUGCCUUGCCAUUCAAGAUUUCAAGAUGAAAACAGGAUUCUUCAGUGAAUUCUUUGAAGAAUGUGAUGUUGUGAAACUAUGAUGAUGUGUUAUGUAUUACAGUAAUUAAUCUUCAGUAACUUUGUCAUCAGUGACUUUUUAUAGACUGCAAAUUUAAUGUUAAUGAUGAGUAUUAUAUGUCAUUUGCACUACUAACAUGAUUAAUAAACAUAUAGAAACUC
Molecule: long non-coding RNA, 510 nt
Organism: Ostrea edulis (European flat oyster)
Lineage: Eukaryota; Metazoa; Mollusca; Bivalvia; Ostreida; Ostreidae
Exons: 2
Source: RefSeq, a predicted model, not a curated record